GGGAGGCGGCGGCUACACAUGCAGUCGAGCGCGAACGGUUCUUCGGAACUUAUUAGAGCGGCGGACGGGUGAGUAAUGCAUAGGAAUCUGCCCAGUAGUGGGGGAUAGCCCGGGGAAACCCGGAUUAAUACCGCAUACGUCCUACGGGAGAAAGCAGGGGAUCUUCGGACCUUGCGCUAUUGGAUGAGCCUAUGUCGGAUUAGCUUGUUGGUGGGGUAAUGGCCCACCAAGGCAACGAUCCGUAGCUGGUCUGAGAGGAUGAUCAGCCACACUGGGACUGAGACACGGCCCAGACUCCUACGGGAGGCAGCAGUGGGGAAUAUUGCACAAUGGGGGAAACCCUGAUGCAGCCAUGCCGCGUGUGUGAAGAAGGCCUUCGGGUUGUAAAGCACUUUCAGUAGGGAGGAAGGCCUGUAAGUUAAUACCUUGCAGGAUUGACGUUACCUACAGAAGAAGCACCGGCUAACUCCGUGCCAGCAGCCGCGGUAAU
This 490-nucleotide ribosomal RNA is filed under the name Microbulbifer salipaludis. Its description in RNAcentral is "bacterial SSU rRNA". It matches the Rfam family "Bacterial small subunit ribosomal RNA", at positions 38 to 524 of the family's 1533-position model. The record is from RNAcentral. Lineage: Bacteria; Pseudomonadati; Pseudomonadota; Gammaproteobacteria; Cellvibrionales; Microbulbiferaceae.